Molecule: long non-coding RNA, 2566 nt
Organism: Gallus gallus (chicken)
Lineage: Eukaryota; Metazoa; Chordata; Aves; Galliformes; Phasianidae
Source: Ensembl
GAAUAACCACCUAAGGGAACUAACAGAGGACUUAAAUCUCAUAAUAUCCUCAUGAUAAAUUUUACAACUGUUUUAUACUGAGAAAAAUCUUGAUUUAAGGUUUUCUGCAAUUAAAUAUUUGAAUGCAAUUUUAUAAAUGGAUUACUGUUUCUUGAAAUAUCAGUCAAAACUUUAAGGUUUGUACAACGCGCAGGAGACACUUCAUGUGGCUGACGCUGUUACCUUCUGGCAAAUAAGCUAAAGUUUGGGCAUUUCUCUGGAGUCAGCACAUCAAUCUCAGAGCCAUUAAGGACAAAUUACCAAAGGCAUAAAGUGAUUUUUUUAAUUUGGAACCCUAAAAGUUGAAGAUCUAAAAAUUAUCCACCAUGUGAAAAUGUUGCAUUUGCAUCUCAACCACCAUCUUAAUGCUGUGUUUCUCCUAGGCAGCAUCCCGUGGACUGCAACAUUCAGAAACUUGGAAUUUUUUAGAGUAUUUAUAAAAUGCUGUACCCACCUCCCUUAUUCCAUGCUUUGAAGCUUGCCGUGUUUUUAGAGCAUAUUUAAAAGAAAACAGAACUGGAUCAGCACACUGAAAGUCACCCACAGACAACCUGUUCCACUGAUACUUUACAUUUAUACUGCAUCCUUUGUCCUGAAGGAUUUCUCUGCUUCAUUCUCAUUCCGUGUAGGCUGAUGAGACCGCUCAGGUAUCUGCAGGAGUUAGUCAGGGAACGCUGGGACAUGUGCUUCAUGUUCAGAGGCCAGUAAGGAAAAUUGGGCAUUUGUUAUUUCAUGGGUAGUGACAUCACCAUCUCAGAUCUCCUUAAGGAAAAUAACUUCCACAGCUGAAAACUAGACCUGAAAGCAAACACAAUCUGAAUUCUUAUGGCAAGGAGCUGGAGCGUGCUGUACUUCACAAUGGGUCAUUACUGCUUGCUAUUCCUUCCGUGUUUUGCAUUUACCAUGCUGCACUUCAAACAUUUCUAUGUGAAAUGCAUCACUUUAAAAUCUGUGGAUACAGAAGGUUCUUUCCUGCUUGUUGAAGUAAUUGAGUGAAGUGAAGGUUGAUCAUAAAAUGUAAUGAGAGGGGAAGAGAGAACUCUUAUGCUGGAAAAAGCACUAUAAAUAUUUUCCUGAGAUCAUUAACACAACCUUGUAACACUUCGCCUCGUGCAGCGGAAAGAAUUAUACAAUCAUUUUAUGAACUUUCUAAAAAGUGUUUACAAUUCCAUCCCAAAUAUAUAUGGCUUUUUUUUUUUUUUAAAGCAGAAAAAAAAAAAAAAACCAGCAACCUAUAAUUCUUAAUUCUGCUAUCAAAGUUAUUUCCAGCCUUUGAAGGGAUUCACUUCGCAGGGCCUCGGCAGCGUCAAACAAAUGUUCGACUUUUAUUCUGACACUUCUUGAAGAAUUUGAUUGAAACUAUAUAUGUCGAGAUAACACCCAACAAAGUGCCCCUCUUGCGUUUGUUUCAAGAUAUUUUUGGAAGCAACAGAGACGACCUUGGAUGGAGCUGCUUUUCCAAUUUAGGACUUCAUUUGGUCUAAGAGAGUAAAAUUAUACUCUUCGGUCCUUUUGUGUACCCACAAACAAAACAGUGUUGUUACCUUCUGCUAUUGUAAAAUUGUUUUUCUGUACCUUGUUAGCAGUGUCAAUCUGUUGAGGAUAAGAACUGUUUUAGGUAAUCCACAGUUACAUUCAAACACACAUAUAAAUAGUCCUCCAGUGUAUCACAUGUCCCUGUAAAACAUUGUGCAAUCCAAACGAACAGUGGUCCUUUAUGUAAUGCCUUUCUUUCUUUAUAACUAGUGUUAAUAAAUAAGCUUUAGCCUUUGUCUUUGCUUAUAGACAUCAAGAAUCUGAUUUCAAGCCAGGGCUCACACAGACUUGAUGUAAAGUCUAAAUGAGGAGAGUGGUAAUGCUGGCGAAUGCGCUGCGAUGGGACCGCCACCUGUCUGGAUUGCAGGAGAUAUAUUGUUUGUCAAGCUUCAAGUUUAAAUCCAAGUAACUGUGGACAGCUGACGGGAAGCAACUGUGAAUCGAUCCUGGGAAUGAACAUGUAUUUGAGUCAUUUGGCUGGUUUAUGUCUCCUGUGUAGAGGUGUAGCUUCACAAAAUGCCUACUGCCUGCAGGAAGAACUCCCUCCGAACAGAUUCUCUACCUGAGCAUCAGGGAAGGAAAUAAAUCUGGAACUGGUGACAUUUCAAGGACAAGGAAAACAACCGCUCGGAGAAUUAUCUGAUUCCGUUGGUGUUUAUUUUUACUUAUAUCUAGCAAUCUGCGCUCCAACAGAAGAUGCUUAUUUGCAGAAAAGAAGGCUGUCUCCUGUCUGGACUGGUGCCUGGUCUGGAGAAAAGAUGGCACUAAGGACAAGAGCAACUUCCAACUGCCUGUACCCAUAAAAUGGUGGAAAAUAAAGGGACUGAAAGCAGCAUGAAGGGACGUAAGAGUCUGGAAAAGAACAUCUAUUUUCUCCACAGUGAAGCAAGUUUUAAUCCAAGUUUUGUUUUACUACUCCAUUGAAGACAACAUACUGACUGUCCCGUGAAGCGCAGACAUGCUGUCAAGAAGCCCUUACCUGGACACUGGC